RNAcentral lists this ribosomal RNA (492 nucleotides) under uncultured bacterium. RNAcentral describes it as "bacterial SSU rRNA". It matches the Rfam family "Bacterial small subunit ribosomal RNA", at positions 43 to 524 of the family's 1533-position model. The record is from RNAcentral.
CAGGCCUAACACAUGCAAGUCGGACGGUAGCACAGAGGAGCUUGCUCCUUGGGUGACGAGUGGCGGACGGGUGAGUAAUGUCUGGGGAUCUGCCCGAUAGAGGGGGAUAACCACUGGAAACGGUGGCUAAUACCGCAUAACGUCGCAAGACCAAAGAGGGGGACCUUCGGGCCUCUCACUAUCGGAUGAACCCAGAUGGGAUUAGCUAGUAGGCGGGGUAAUGGCCCACCUAGGCGACGAUCCCUAGCUGGUCUGAGAGGAUGACCAGCCACACUGGAACUGAGACACGGUCCAGACUCCUACGGGAGGCAGCAGUGGGGAAUAUUGCACAAUGGGCGCAAGCCUGAUGCAGCCAUGCCGCGUGUAUGAAGAAGGCCUUCGGGUUGUAAAGUACUUUCAGCGGGGAGGAAGGCGGUGAGGUUAAUAACCUCGCCGAUUGACGUUACCCGCAGAAGAAGCACCGGCUAACUCCGUGCCAGCAGCCGCGGUAAU